UAACUUUUCAGAUGAUUUUUGUCAAAAAUGAAAGUGGCUGCAUCCGUGUUCAUCCUCAACCUUUAUAUAUGUUAUGUAUUCUCAUCUUAUAUAUUUAUGUAGCAGAAGCAUUCUACUGUCCAAUUAAUAACUAAAAGUUUAUAUUUUAACCAUUUUGUAAAACUGCUAUAUUUUGGGGCCAAAAAGGGGUCUUACUGGACCUACUCCUUUGGUAAUUCAUAUAAAACAAAGCAGAAAAAAAACUUUUAGAAUAUUUUUUUUUAUAUAUAAAAGUAUCUUGCAUUUAUUAAUAAAUUUACUUUCUGAUUCAUAUACACUGACUCUACAGUACCCUAGCAGUUAUCAAGGGGUGCUCCUUUCAUGGAGGGAACUUCGUUAAAAUGAAAGCAACAAGUUUAUACAGGUCAUGUAGAUUGAAUUGCAUUAUUUAUUAAAAAGAAAUUAAUAGUUGUGCAUCUCAGUUCUUAUAAGAUUAUCAUCCCUUAUCUGCUCUUAUUUAGAAAAGAUUAAAAGAAACUGGGAAUUAAUUCUAUACAUUUAGAUAUAUGCAUAGGUAAUCACAUUUCAUACCUGUUCAAUAAAGACAUUUGUGUGUGUAAGUUAUGCAUAUACUUCAUAAGAUAGUAUCAUUUGUCAGAGCAAUAUAUACAUGUUUUUAAUAUUUUAUUGUUCAUGUAAAAAUAUCGUAAAAUAUAUGUCAGAGUGAAAAUUCAUACAUCUUUACAUGUGAAUGAAUAGUGACUGUGAAUGCAAUGCUUAGUGCUUAAAUAUGAAUGAUCAUUUACAUAGUAUUUUCCAACCACAGAGAAACUAUGCAGUGUUACAAUGUGUUUAAAGAUAGCAUUGAAGUGAUUGACAGAUGUUCAAUCCAUCUCUAUGUCACAUGACUCAAUUGAACAUCUAUUUAUCAACUGCAUACAAAAACUCAAAAUAUCUUCUUACUUAAAGAACAAUAUAGUACAUUUAAUUCACAAAAAAUCUACUUUCAAG
RNAcentral lists this long non-coding RNA (990 nucleotides) under Mytilus galloprovincialis (Mediterranean mussel). Lineage: Eukaryota; Metazoa; Mollusca; Bivalvia; Mytilida; Mytilidae. The record is from RNAcentral.